This is a non-coding RNA of Marmota flaviventris (yellow-bellied marmot), 314 nucleotides long. Lineage: Eukaryota; Metazoa; Chordata; Mammalia; Rodentia; Sciuridae. The record is from the annotation of a RefSeq genome assembly.
GUGUCCUGUGCCAGGUGCAGCUGCAGGAGUCAGGACCUGGCCUGGUGAAGCCCUCGCAGACCCUGUCCCUCACCUGUGCUGUCUCUGGAUUCUCCAUCACAACCAGUUACUAUUGCUGGGAGUGGAUCCGUCAGCCCCCAGGACAGGGGCUGGAAUGGAUAGGGUACAUAUGUUAUAAUGGUAACACUUACUACAGCCCAUCCCUCAAGAGCCGAGUGUCCAUCUCCAGAGACACGUCCAAGAACCAGUUCUCCCUGCAGCUGAGCUCCCUGACCACUGAGGACACGGCCACCUAUUACUGUGCCAGAGCCACA